GAAUUGACGGGGGCCCGCACAAGCAGUGGAGUAUGUGGUUUAAUUCGAAGCAACGCGAAGAACCUUACCAGAUCUUGACAUCCAACUAAUCCUGUAGAAAUAUGGGAGUGCCCUUCGGGGAAAGUUGAGACAGGUGGUGCAUGGUUGUCGUCAGCUCGUGUCGUGAGAUGUUGGGUUAAGUCCCGCAACGAGCGCAACCCUUGUGAUUAGUUGCUACGCAAGAGCACUCUGAUCAGACUGCCGUUGACAAAACAGAGGAAGGUGGGGACGACGUCAAAUCAUCAUGCCCCUUAUGAUCUGGGCUACACACGUACUACAAUGGCCAUCAACAAAGGGAAGCAAAGCCGCGAGGCGGAGCAAAUCCCCAAAAAUGGUCCCAGUUCGGAUCGCAGGCUGCAACCCGCCUGCGUGAAGCCGGAAUUGCUAGUAAUCGCGGAUCAUCAUGCCGCGGUGAAUACGUUCCCGGGCCUUGUACACACCG
Molecule: ribosomal RNA, 481 nt
Filed under: uncultured Clostridium sp.
Lineage: Bacteria; Bacillati; Bacillota; Clostridia; Eubacteriales; Clostridiaceae
Description: bacterial SSU rRNA
Rfam family: Bacterial small subunit ribosomal RNA
Source: RNAcentral